AUGGCGGUUAAUAUAAUUUUCGAUAUCAGCUGAAAUAAAUGCAAUUUUAGGCCCUUAAAGUAGCUUAAGUCAAGUGAUCUUUCUUGAGUAGCUGCAAAAAUAUCUGUACUUGGUUCUUACGAAGUUUGAAUGGCCUGCGCUGAAGAAUUCUACACGUAUCCAAGGUCGAAGAAAGUUAUGGAAGAUGAUGUGUUAACAAUAGAGGACAUUACAAAUCAUGUGACCCGCCGUGGUGCAUAUAAUGGGGUCAGGAUAAGGGAAUUUGAUGAUGGGAAUGUUAAUCCAGAACCUGUAAAAAGAGAUGAGGAUGAAGAUUCUGAUAAUUUGUGGGAAGAAUUUCUUUCGCCUAAUAAACUGAAAUCACUAACAGGGGUGAACAANCUCAAUGAUGUUACAUUUCUGGAAAUGCAAGUCAACACUAGUGAUAACAGUCUGGGAAAUUUUGGGGGUUUACUUCCAAAUUUAACUCAGCUAAAGCUGUCAAAUAGCAUGAUUUCAACUGUAAGGGACUUGGGAACUUCCCUUUCAAAUCUCAAGACACUGUGGAUGUGUCGAUGUGGACUUUCGGAUUUGGAUGGNAUCAGUUCAAUUUCAUGUCUUGUUGAACUCUAUGUAGCAUUUAAUGACAUUAGUGAUGUAAGUCCAGUUAGUAUGCUCGAUAGCCUAGAGGUUCUUGACUUAGAAGGGAACUUGAUUGACGACCUGUCACAAGUUGAAUUCUUGACACUGUGUUCAUCACUCAAAAGUCUUAACCUGGAGGGCAAUCCUGUGUGUGUGGCACCACACCCAUCUUCUACUGCUGAGCAAAUGGCAGGAUAUGAGUAUCGUAAGGCAAUUCACCAGGCCAUACCAGGUAUUAAAGUACUGGACGAUGAGCCAUUGCUGAUAGAGAAGGUCGGAGGUAAACCAGUCCUGCGUGACAUGCCAGAGUCAGCUAAGACUGCUAAAGUACCAGAUCACUUGAAAGAAGAAUGGCAACUGAUAAAUGAUGGACUGAAAGCUAUGGAUACUGAACAGGAAAACAAUGAACAGUCCAACUCCAGGCCAUCAUCUGGUACAAGACCCAAAACUGCUNCAGCAAGGCAAAGACCAGCAUCAGCAGCAAGACAACGACCAACUUCUGCCAGGCAAAGGCCAGGAAGUGCAUUUGGACANCGUCCAGGAUCUUCUCUUGGUUCUUCUGGUAGCCAAUCAGAGUUGACUGGCAUAUUUCAGAUGGGAGAUGAUAGCAGUGAUUUAACUCAUGGGUCUGGUGANGUGAUAUGUGGUAACAUAUCAAAGGCUCUUAAAUCAAGAAGAAAGAAUAUUGAUAAGACAGUUACCUCUCCAUUCUCCAAUGAANCACGAAUACAUGUUCCUGAGAAAAGCUACGAGGAAGAACAUGAAAACACUCCAUCAAAAAAAGAUAUAUUUGAUGAACUGAAAGAGUGGAGGCAAGAAUUUUCAGAGUUAAUCAACGACAAUCACAGACUACCUUCAACAAGUUUUGAUUCUGAAUCAAGUCAGUCAGAAAGUGAAUCCCCCUUCUCAUCACCAAGAAGAACNAAAGCUUUUGAAACAAGUCCCUCUCCACCAACUUCAAACCCAAGACCCUCACUUUCCCCCACCCCUCCCCNUCCAAGUAACUCCAAGAGGCCCUCUCCAAUGGGAAGAUCUUUGCCUAGUGCACCUUUGGUUGGACGUGAUCUUAACAGACCACAUACAUCAGGGGAAUUUCGCCUUAGAAGGUAUAGACAAGCAUCUACAGAACAGGCUGUUGAUACUNUUAGAAGUUCUGUUAAAGACAACGUCACUCUAGACAGUAAUCACAACCAAUCGACNUCANCACUAGAUUCCAGGCUACCACAUGGUAGCUCUCCAACAGACACUGAACCCAGGUCAUCAUCUGCACCUGUAAAAGCAUUGAGACGAUAUAGAGUGUUACCAAAUACACCUGGAUCUCCUCCUGAAUCCAAAACCGAUAAAAAUCCUCAGCCUUCCACCCAAUCACCUGUCAGUCCAUUGUCACAUGGUAUACGGCCUGGCACUGCCGCCGCAGCACUUCAGAAGCGAAGACUCAGGUCUGACCAAAAAAUGUAGCUCUUUGUCAAAGAGAGAGAAGCCCUGUGGAUUCAUCAGGAUUCCUGUGAUGCGCGAAAAGAGUGAAGUCUGAGAAUGAACUGAAAAUCUUUGCCAUCUAGUCGUUUGCCUUAUAGAAAGGAAAAGAAAAAUUAAAAAGUUUCUUUUUCUCGGCAAGACGUGAAGAAAAUCUCAUUGUAAAUACGUGUAGCAUUAGAGUAAUUUUAUUUAAGUGAAAAUGAUGAAAAGGUUUAAGACAUGUAGUAAUAGUAAAGGUGUAACUGGAUUGAAUUUUUUUUUGAAAGUACUGAAACAAUAUACCUGCUAUACAUUUCAAANAUUCUCUACAAAUAGACUUGUGUAUAUUGAACUUUCCUUUACAAAGUAGUGUAUUAAAGUUUUAAAAGAAAUAAAGUGCGUUUGAGAGG
Molecule: unclassified non-coding RNA, 2486 nt
Filed under: Exaiptasia diaphana
Lineage: Eukaryota; Metazoa; Cnidaria; Anthozoa; Actiniaria; Aiptasiidae
Description: leucine-rich repeat-containing protein 56, transcript variant X1
Source: RNAcentral